Molecule: ribosomal RNA, 301 nt
Filed under: uncultured bacterium
Lineage: Bacteria
Description: partial 16S ribosomal RNA
Rfam family: Bacterial small subunit ribosomal RNA
Source: RNAcentral
CAGCCGCCGCGGUAAUACGAAGGGGGCUAGCGUUGCUCGGAAUUACUGGGCGUAAAGCGCACGUAGGCGGAUAUUUAAGUCAGGGGUGAAAUCCCGCAGCUCAACUGCGGAACUGCCUUUGAUACUGGGUAUCUUGAGUAUGGAAGAGGUUAGUGGAAUUGCGAGUGUAGAGGUGAAAUUCGUAGAUAUUCGCAGGAACACCAGUGGCGAAGGCGGCUAACUGGUCCAUAACUGACGCUGAGGUGCGAAAGCGUGGGGAGCAAACAGGAUUAGAUACCCCCGUAGUCCCUGUCUCUUAUAC